This 66-nucleotide transfer RNA is filed under the name Noturus leptacanthus (speckled madtom). RNAcentral's name for it is "tRNA-Cys". The record is from RNAcentral. Lineage: Eukaryota; Metazoa; Chordata; Actinopteri; Siluriformes; Ictaluridae.
GGCCCCGCGGUGGUUACACGUUAGAUUGCAAAUCUAAAGAAGUAGGUAGAUCGCCUACCGGGGCUU